Molecule: unclassified non-coding RNA, 304 nt
Filed under: Hevea brasiliensis (rubber tree)
Lineage: Eukaryota; Viridiplantae; Streptophyta; Magnoliopsida; Malpighiales; Euphorbiaceae
Source: RNAcentral
GUCCAUCACAGCUCUUGCAUGGGAGUUUCUGACUUAGCAAAUUUUGCUGCAAAAAGCUUCCAAGCGGAAUAUCAAAAUUUUGGUAGAACUUAAUGCGAGAAAAAUGACCAUGUGCACACAUAGUCCCUUUUGAAGCAUUACGGCUUGAUAUCAGAACCAAUAUACUCUCAGUAUCCAUAGAUUUAACGCCAUUACCCAUAUUACCAGAUACCUGUGAUUCUAAAGAUUCUCCCUGGCUCACUAUUGGAGUAUGCGACCGUUCUUUUUCGGAUGCCACCUCGUCAUCACAGGUAGUGACUUUCUG